RNAcentral lists this ribosomal RNA (514 nucleotides) under uncultured archaeon. RNAcentral describes it as "bacterial SSU rRNA". It matches the Rfam family "Archaeal small subunit ribosomal RNA", at positions 345 to 859 of the family's 1478-position model. The record is from RNAcentral.
AACCUUUGCAAUGCGCGAAAGCGCGACAGGGGAACUCCGAGUGUCGGCACUUCGGUGUCGACUGUUGCGGAUUCUAAAACGAUCCGUCAGAAAGGGCUGGGUAAGACGGGUGCCAGCCGCCGCGGUAAUACCCGCGGCCCGAGUGGUGGCCGCUUUUAUUGGGCCUAAAGGGUCCGUAGUCGGCCCGGUGCGUCCCGGGGGAAAUCCGGCCACUCAACGGUCGGGCUUCUCCGGGAUACGGCCGGGCUUGGGACCGGGUGAGGGCAGGGGUACUCCGGGGGUAGCGGUGAAAUGCUGCGAUCCCCGGGGGACCACCCGCAGGGAAGCCGCCUGCCCAGAACGGGUCCGACGAUGAGGGACGAAAGCCAGGGGAGCAAACGGGAUUAGAUACCCCGGUAGUCCUGGCCGUAAACGAUGCGGGCUUUGUGUCAGGUUCGCUGCGAGUGAACCUGGUGCCGUAGGGAAGCCGUUAAGCCCGCCGCCUGGGGAGUACGGUCGCAAGGCUGAAACUUAA